AUUUCACUGUUAGUCCACACCUGUUGUUAACGAAGCAUGUGACGAAUACAAUUUGAUUUGACUCUUCCAUUCAUAUGAAUUCUCACAGCGAGGGCAUGUCUGCAUGAUGCUAAUGAGGGCCCCCUUGCUGGACUUCUCUAUACUGUAUGUUCAGCUGCAAACAUAAUAUCUCUUCAGCAGGCAAUCUUAUGAGGUGGUGUGGACCGGGAGGGGUCUGUGACCGGGUGAUAUAAUAGACAGCCAAAUGGGCAGUAACUCAAGUCACUAUCAGAGGCCUCAUUAUGGUUUCGACAUCCGUUCAUGACCAGGGGAUCAGUCUGGCACCCAACUGUGCACUUUGUCGAACAGAAAAACAGGGUUAAUGAUUGUCAUCAUGCCUCAAUUAUAAACAUAGCUCGAGAAAUAACAAUAUCUCAUUUGGAAUCUAAUUCUAUGCUUUAGAGAUGUAGACCGACUGGCUCCAGAUUGGAUUAGAUUCAGGUUGGUUUGAGUUUGUUGCUGCUAGUCAGACAUGAGUUAUUUAGUACCACCUUAGCUGAAUCCAAUAUUUAUUUGUGCCCUAGACAUGGGUUGCACCUCGUAGGC
Long non-coding RNA from Oncorhynchus masou masou (cherry salmon), 585 nucleotides. RefSeq lists it as uncharacterized. NCBI's taxonomy places the organism in Eukaryota, Metazoa, Chordata, Actinopteri, Salmoniformes, Salmonidae. The record is from RefSeq and is a predicted model, not a curated record. The transcript has 3 exons.